This is a long non-coding RNA of Lactuca sativa (garden lettuce), 361 nucleotides long. RefSeq lists it as uncharacterized. The record is from RefSeq and is a predicted model, not a curated record. NCBI's taxonomy places the organism in Eukaryota, Viridiplantae, Streptophyta, Magnoliopsida, Asterales, Asteraceae.
UGCAGAAUAGGAAUUGAACAUGAAAAGUUUGGGUUCGAGCUGAAAACAUUGAAGCCUAUGACAUAUGGACAAAUAGCAGAUCUGCUGAAUGCUAUUUCUGAGAGAUUUGACUGGGAGAAAAUCAUGGAAGGGGACAAUAUAAUUGGGCUUAAAUAGGGAAAACAAAGUAUAUCUAUGGAACCUGGUGGUCAGUUUGAGCUUAGUAGCGCUCCUCUUGAAACUCUCCAUCAAACAUGUGCAGAAGUGAAUUCACACCUUUACCAGGUGAAAGCUGUUGCUGAAGAGAUGGGAAUUGGAUUUAUAGGAAUUGGUUUCCAUCCAAAAUUGGAAAGAAAAGAUAUACCUAUAAUGCCUAAAGUAA